CUGACCUCAAAUCAGGUAGGACUACCCGCUGAACUUAAGCAUAUCAAUAAGCGGAGGAAAAGAAACUAACAAGGAUUCCCCUAGUAACUGCGAGUGAAGCGGGAAAAGCUCAAAUUUAAAAUCUGGCGGUCUUUGGCCGUCCGAGUUGUAGUCUGGAGAAGUGCUU
This 166-nucleotide ribosomal RNA is filed under the name Cerrena caperata. RNAcentral describes it as "Coriolopsis caperata partial 28S ribosomal RNA". It matches the Rfam family "Eukaryotic large subunit ribosomal RNA", at positions 1 to 163 of the family's 3401-position model. The record is from RNAcentral. Lineage: Eukaryota; Fungi; Basidiomycota; Agaricomycetes; Polyporales; Cerrenaceae.